This 460-nucleotide ribosomal RNA is filed under the name uncultured bacterium. RNAcentral's name for it is "partial 16S ribosomal RNA". It matches the Rfam family "Bacterial small subunit ribosomal RNA", at positions 338 to 795 of the family's 1533-position model. The record is from RNAcentral.
CCUACGGGAGACAGCAGUGAGGAAUAUUGGUCAAUGGGCGGAAGCCUGAACCAGCAAAGUAGCGUGCAGGAUGACGGCCCUACGGGUUGUAAACUGCUUUUAUACGGGAAUAACGCGCCUUACGUGUAGGGCUUUGCAUGUACCGUAUGAAUACGGAACGGCUAAUUCGGUGCCAGCAGCCGCGGUAAGACGGAAGGUCCGGGCGUUAUCCGGGUUUAGUGGGUUGAGAGUGAGCGUAGGCCGCAUGUCAAGCGUGCUGUGAAGUGUCCGGGCUCAACCCUGGCCUGGCAGUGCGAACUGGCGUGCUUGAGUCCGCGGAAGGCAGGCGGAAUUCGUUGUGUAGCGGUGAAAUGCGUAGAGAUGACGAAGAACCACGAUUGCGAAGGCAGCUUGCUGGAGUGGAACUGACGCUGAUGCGCGAAAGCGCGGGUAUCGAACAGGAUUAGAUACCCGGGUAGUC